This 478-nucleotide ribosomal RNA is filed under the name uncultured bacterium. RNAcentral describes it as "partial 16S ribosomal RNA". It matches the Rfam family "Bacterial small subunit ribosomal RNA", at positions 28 to 507 of the family's 1533-position model. The record is from RNAcentral.
GAUGAACGCUAGCGGCAGGCCUAACACAUGCAAGUCGAGGGAGAAGCCCUUUCGGGGGCAGAAACCGGCGCACGGGUGCGUAACGCGUAUGCAACCUACCUUUCACAGGGGGAUAGCCCGAAGAAAUUUGGAUUAACACCCCAUAAUAUUAUUGGAUGGCAUCAUUUGAUAAUUAAAACUGCGGUGGUGAAAGAUGGGCAUGCGUCCUAUUAGCUAGUUGGAGUGGUAACGGCACCCCAAGGCUACGAUAGGUAGGGGUCCUGAGAGGGAGAUCCCCCACACUGGUACUGAGACAGGGACCAAACUCCUACGGGAGGCAGCAGUGAGGAAUAUUGGUCAAUGGUCGGAAGACUGAACCAGCCAUGCCGCGUGCAGGAAGAAUGCCUUAUGGGUUGUAAACUGCUUUUAUAUGGGAAGAAUAAGGUGUACGUGUACAUUGAUGACGGUACCAUAUGAAUAAGCAUCGGCUAACUCCGUG